UUAAAUUGAAGAGUUUGAUCAUGGCUCAGAUUGAACGCUGGCGGCAGGCCUAACACAUGCAAGUCGAACGGUAACAGGAAGCAGCUUGCUGCUUUGCUGACGAGUGGCGGACGGGUGAGUAAUGUCUGGGAAACUGCCYGAUGGAGGGGGAUAACUACUGGAAACGGUAGCUAAUACCGCAUAACGUCGCAAGACCAAAGAGGGGGACCUUCGGGCCUCUUGCCAUCGGAUGUGCCCAGAUGGGAUUAGCUAGUAGGUGGGGUAACGGCUCACCUAGGCGACGAUCCCUAGCUGGUCUGAGAGGAUGACCAGCCACACUGGAACUGAGACACGGUCCAGACUCCUACGGGAGGCAGCAGUGGGGAAUAUUGCACAAUGGGCGCAAGCCU
This 389-nucleotide ribosomal RNA is filed under the name Escherichia coli. RNAcentral's name for it is "bacterial SSU rRNA". It matches the Rfam family "Bacterial small subunit ribosomal RNA", at positions 1 to 384 of the family's 1533-position model. The record is from RNAcentral. Lineage: Bacteria; Pseudomonadati; Pseudomonadota; Gammaproteobacteria; Enterobacterales; Enterobacteriaceae.